RNAcentral lists this long non-coding RNA (1323 nucleotides) under Setaria italica (foxtail millet). RNAcentral describes it as "long non-coding RNA (SITA_LNC006745)". The record is from RNAcentral. Lineage: Eukaryota; Viridiplantae; Streptophyta; Magnoliopsida; Poales; Poaceae.
UAGUUUAUUUCAUCCAAGACAUUCCAAAUCUCCCGUUUGAGGUUUGGCUCAUAGUUGCAGCGGAAACGGCAGACAGUACUCUACCAUGGACACAGGUUUUCAGUGUCUCAUGCCAUACCUUGAUCUGAACUGGAGUCCUCAGUAUUUAAUAUCUACAAAUUAAAUUUUAUGCAGGAUGCAGGUGUUCAAACUUCAAAUUUCCCUGGUAUUAGAUAUCGUCAGUGCUGACAGCAGACUUUAAACAGCAAUUAAGGGUUUUCUUUUUGGAGCGGAGUGGUGAACUGUUCCAUGGUACACGGCUACAGCUCAACUAUUGUAUGUUACACCUACACCAGACAGUGUUGAUCUCACUGUUCCAGAUAGUACCUUUGCGCUUCCCUGUCUCGCCUUAUUUGGGGACAAAAAAAUACGCUCUAAUUCUGAAAUUCUGAUUCAUAGAAUCGCGUAAUUUCCCCGGAAAAUCACCAUCCCAAGAUAAGGACCCCUUAUCAUCCCAAGUGUUACCUGGAGACGAAAAGCAUCACUGUUGUUCAAAUUUCCCUGGUGUCCGGUGCCCAGAUGGACAGGAAGCCGCCACAGUUUCCCUUUUGUUAGUUUUUCCCCGGCGAGCGGCCAUGGUUUUCCCUGUCGCCCUCGCCGGUCGCCGUCGGGGUCACGCUGCAGAACAGUUCCAAGUUUUAGUUGUUAGCACCAGUGUCAGGACCUGCAUCGAGCUCCGAUCCUAUGCGGAUGGAUGGAUGUCAAGGCAACAACAAACCAAUAAGCUUUGAAUUAAACUUGGCAAAAAUGAAACACAUGGCCAUCAGUGCUCCAGCGCACUGUCUGCAAGCAAAGCUCACAGCCUCUCUCCUAAUCUCCUCCCUGUUGCCGUCACAGUUGCUUCGUGCUGACAAAUUGGCAAUUAAGUUUGUCUGUUGAAUUAUCAUGUAGUAGGAGUGUUUUUUUUCGUGCAUGAACUGUUGGUGAAAUCGAUGUGUCGAUGGAGUUUGAAUUGUUUAUUUUAUUUUGUUUUUGGUGUUGCGUGAAUUGUGAUGUCUAUAUAAGCGCGCCUAUUCACAUCGCCCCCUUUUGCGACGCACACCAUUCUUUUUUCUUGAUACUUUUGUACUGGGUGCGUUGUGUUGGUUACACCACCAUGGAGAUGGGACGAUCGGGAAAUGGUGGCGGCAAGGUGGUCACCUUCGACGACUCGGUAGCCGGGAGGCGCCGGAACGGCGGCUCCCUCUCGUCGUACCUCGACGUUGGCAACAAGGAUGCCGUCGAAGCCGGCCGUGCCGCGCGGCCCAUGCCCGGCAUGGGCAGUCGGCGCCGCACGUACGCUGA